UAGCAGUUUGAUUCGUGGCUUCAGAAACGAACGCUGUGACUGUCGAUGUUAUAACACUAUGACAGGUUCUUAACGUACACGUUUCCGUCUUGGCAUUCACAUACGUAWGGUAAAGUUUUACGUGGGCAGAACGGRCUGCCUUAAMMCAUGAGGCAACCUGCCAUGAAGKGGGGGAUWRCYCGCCGAUAGGMKAAUGAUAUACCCC
RNAcentral lists this ribosomal RNA (205 nucleotides) under uncultured Verrucomicrobiota bacterium. Its description in RNAcentral is "uncultured Verrucomicrobia bacterium partial 16S ribosomal RNA". The record is from RNAcentral. Lineage: Bacteria; Pseudomonadati; Verrucomicrobiota.